CUAUACUAUACUGCACUGUAGGUAUACAUACUGUCCGUAGUACAAUGGCGAGUAUGUCUUUCGGAGGAAGACUUACCUAUGCUUGACUGAAUCACGAUAUACACUAGUACUAGUAUGCAAUGUAUAAAUCCGAUGUUUUACUUUGAAAGAAAUUGAAGUCAGGAGAUUCAAAAAAAGUGUCAACCAUAUGUCCUAGGAGCGACGAUCUAACAGCGACAGCGAAAGGGUGGAUGGCUUAGUAAAUACUUUUCAGCCUCGACAAACGAAAUGAAACCGAUAGUACAUUUCCACAAGGAAAAUAUAAAUACGUAAACUUUGUGCGGGACUCGAGUAUAAUUACAUAUUCAAACUUUCUCCCGAACCCGAGGGCUCCGGCUUAAACGUCUGUAAGGGGCGUAAUAACGGCAUGUUCCAUUGUCAUAUAAAGUUACGCUAAUUCUAUGUAGAUUUUACUACCGUGAUUUAAUAAAAACUUUGUAAAGAUAA
This is a long non-coding RNA of Cephus cinctus (wheat stem sawfly), 486 nucleotides long. RefSeq lists it as uncharacterized. The transcript is spliced from 2 exons. NCBI's taxonomy places the organism in Eukaryota, Metazoa, Arthropoda, Insecta, Hymenoptera, Cephidae. The record is from RefSeq and is a predicted model, not a curated record.